This 1385-nucleotide ribosomal RNA is filed under the name metagenome. RNAcentral describes it as "bacterial LSU rRNA". It matches the Rfam family "Bacterial large subunit ribosomal RNA", at positions 1553 to 2925 of the family's 2925-position model. The record is from RNAcentral.
UAGAUGAGGCGUGAUGACGAGGCUCUUCGGAGCCGAAGCGAGUGAUACCCAGCUUCCAGGAAAAGCCUCUAAGCUUCAGUCUAAGAGUGACCGUACCGCAAACCGACACAGGUGGGCUGGUAGAGAAUACCAAGGCGCUUGAGAGAACUCAGGAGAAGGAACUCGGCAAAUUGAUACCGUAACUUCGGGAGAAGGUAUGCCCCUGGUACGUGAAGGCCCUCGCGGCCGGAGCGGAACGGGGUCGCAGAGAAUCGGUGGCUGCGACUGUUUAUUAAAAACACAGCACUCUGCAAACACGAAAGUGGACAUAUAGGGUGUGACGCCUGCCCGGUGCCGGAAGGUUAAGUGAUGGGGUGCAAGCUCUUGAUCGAAGCCCCGGUAAACGGCGGCCGUAACGAUAACGGUCCUAAGGUAGCGAAAUUCCUUGUCGGGUAAGUUCCGACCUGCACGAAUGGCGUAACGAUGGCCACACUGUCUCCUCCUGAGACUCAGCGAAGUUGAAAUGUUUGUGAAGAUGCAAUCUCCCCGCGGCUAGACGGAAAGACCCCAUGAACCUUUACUGUAGCUUUGCAUUGGACUUUGACGGGACUUGUGUAGGAUAGGUGGGAGGCUAUGAAACCGGGACGCCAGUUCCGGUGGAGCCAUCCUUGAGAUACCACCCUGGUGUCGUCGAGGUUCUAACCCAGGCCUGUGAAUCCAGGUCGGGGACCGUGCAUGGUGGGCAGUUUGACUGGGGCGGUCUCCUCCCAAAAGGUAACGGAGGAGUACGAAGGUCACCUAGGUACGGUCUGACAUCGUACUGAUAGUGCAAUGGCAAAAGGUGGCUUGACUGCGAGACCCACACGUCGAGCAGGUGCGAAAGCAGGUCAUAGUGAUCCGGUGGUUCUGUAUGGAAGGGCCAUCGCUCAACGGAUAAAAGGUACUCUGGGGAUAACAGGCUGAUUCCGCCCAAGAGUUCACAUCGACGGCGGAGUUUGGCACCUCGAUGUCGGCUCAUCACAUCCUGGGGCUGUAGCCGGUCCCAAGGGUAUGGCUGUUCGCCAUUUAAAGUGGUACGUGAGCUGGGUUUAAAACGUCGUGAGACAGUUUGGUCCCUAUCUGCCGUGGGCGCUGGAAGUUUGAGAGGGCCUGCUCCUAGUACGAGAGGACCGGAGUGGACGCACCCCUGGUGUACCGGUUGUGACGCCAGUCGCAUCGCCGGGUAGCUAUGUGCGGAAGAGAUAACCGCUGAAAGCAUCUAAGCGGGAAACUCGCCUCAAGAUGAGACUUCCCCGGGGCCUCGAGCCCCCUGAAGGGUCGUUGAAGACCACAACGUUGAUAGGCCGGGUGUGUAAGCGUGGCAACACGUUCAGCUAACCGGUACUAAUUGCCCGUGUAGCUUGAUC